GCACCGCACAACAACCCUGUCGAUUCUGCUCAGUGUUUGAUACGGGUCACGCUUGGUGCCAUAGAGUAAGUCAACGUAAAUCCAGAUGGACCUCCUCCCUCCGUGGAGCCUAUCUCUACAACUUUGAUACACAA
Cynoglossus semilaevis (tongue sole) is the source of this 134-nucleotide small nucleolar RNA. Ensembl annotates it as small nucleolar RNA SNORA55. The record is from Ensembl. Lineage: Eukaryota; Metazoa; Chordata; Actinopteri; Pleuronectiformes; Cynoglossidae.